GAUGAAGAACGUAGCGAAAUGCGAUACGUAAUGUGAAUUGCAGAAUUCAGUGAAUCAUCGAAUCUUUGAACGCAUAUUGCGCUCUCUGGUAUUCCGGAGAGCAUGCUUGUUUGAGUAUCAGUAAACACCUCAACUUCCAUAUCUUUUUUGAAAUGGGAGUUGGACUUGAGUGAUCCCAACGCUUUUCCUCACCGAAAAGUGGCGGGUUACUUGAAAUGCAGGUGCAGCUGGACUUUUCUCUGAGCUAUAAGCAUAUCUAUUUAGUCUGCCUAAAAAACAGAUUAUUACCUUUGCUGCAGCUAACAUAAAGGAGAUUAGUUCUUGUGCUGACUGAUGCAGGAUUCACAAAGACAGCUUCGGCCGACUUUGUAAACUCGAUCUCAAAUCAAGUAAGACUACCCGCUGAACUUAAGCAUAUCAAUAAGCGUAGGA
This 432-nucleotide unclassified non-coding RNA is filed under the name soil metagenome. RNAcentral describes it as "partial contains 5.8S ribosomal RNA, internal transcribed spacer 2, and large subunit ribosomal RNA". The stretch from base 1 to 120 matches the Rfam family "5.8S ribosomal RNA", at positions 35 to 154 of the family's 154-position model. The record is from RNAcentral.